AGCCAGUGGGGGUGUAGUGGUUUGAAUGCUGCACUAUGACUCUGGAGAUCAGGGUUCAAAUCCCUACUCGGCUA
Phrynosoma platyrhinos (Desert horned lizard) is the source of this 74-nucleotide non-coding RNA. The record is from the annotation of a GenBank genome assembly. Lineage: Eukaryota; Metazoa; Chordata; Lepidosauria; Squamata; Phrynosomatidae.